UUCAGAAAACGGCAAACUCAUUGAAAAAUGAGGGCGCAAAGUCGACAGGCCUAAGGGAUACGUAUUUUUAACGGAAAAUGCUACUAUGGCGGCUGGGCUACCUGG
This 105-nucleotide non-coding RNA is filed under the name Thalassobacillus cyri. Its description in RNAcentral is "c-di-GMP-I riboswitch aptamer". It matches the Rfam family "c-di-GMP-I riboswitch aptamer". From Rfam's summary of the family: GEMM was predicted in a large-scale screen for bacterial structured RNA regulatory elements. Genes associated with GEMM are involved in a diverse array of functions, including chemotaxis regulation, signal transduction, secretion and chitin. Lineage: Bacteria; Bacillati; Bacillota; Bacilli; Caryophanales; Bacillaceae. The record is from Rfam by way of RNAcentral.